Molecule: ribosomal RNA, 465 nt
Filed under: uncultured bacterium
Lineage: Bacteria
Description: partial 16S ribosomal RNA
Rfam family: Bacterial small subunit ribosomal RNA
Source: RNAcentral
GACGAACGCUGGCGGCGUGCUUAACACAUGCAAGUCGAACGGAAAGGCCCUUUUGGGGGUACCCGAGUGGCGAACGGGGGAGUAACACGUGGGUAACCUGCCCUUGACUCCGGGAUAACUUCGGGAACGUGGGGCAAAUACCGGUAAGGAAUCAUUCCUGCUUGGUGGGGGUGGGAAAGCUCCGGCGGUUUUGGAUGGUCUCGCGGCUUAUCAGCUUGUUGGUGGGGUGGUGGCUUACCAGGGCUUUGACGGGUAGCCGGCCUGAGGGGGCGACCGGCCACAUUGGGACUGAGAUACGGCCCAGACUCCUACGGGAGGCAGCAGUGGGGAAUAUUGCACAAUGGGCGGAAGCCUGAUGCAGCAACGCCGCGGGCGGGAUGACGGCCUUCGGGUUGUAAACCGCUUUCAGCAGGGGCGAAGCUUGUGGUGACGGUACCUGCAGAAGAAGCACCGGCUAACUACGUG